UAGGGAAUCUUCGGCAAUGGGGGCAACCCUGACCGAGCAACGCCGCGUGAGUGAAGAAGGUUUUCGGAUCGUAAAGCUCUGUUGUAAGAGAAGAACGUGUGUGAGAGUGGAAAGUUCACACAGUGACGGUAACUUACCAGAAAGGGACGGCUAACUACGUGCCAGCAGCCGCGGUAAUACGUAGGUCCCGAGCGUUGUCCGGAUUUAUUGGGCGUAAAGCGAGCGCAGGCGGUUUAAUAAGUCUGAAGUUAAAGGCAGUGGCUUAACCAUUGUUCGCUUUGGAAACUGUUAAACUUGAGUGCAGAAGGGGAGAGUGGAAUUCCAUGUGUAGCGGUGAAAUGCGUAGAUAUAUGGUGGAACACCGGUGGCGAAAGCGGCUCUCUGGUCUGUAACUGACGCUGAGGCUCGAAAGCGUGGGGAGCAAACAGG
This 429-nucleotide ribosomal RNA is filed under the name bacterium. Its description in RNAcentral is "partial 16S ribosomal RNA". It matches the Rfam family "Bacterial small subunit ribosomal RNA", at positions 355 to 776 of the family's 1533-position model. The record is from RNAcentral.